This 120-nucleotide ribosomal RNA is filed under the name Merluccius merluccius (European hake). Lineage: Eukaryota; Metazoa; Chordata; Actinopteri; Gadiformes; Merlucciidae. RNAcentral also lists the same sequence under 2 other names. The record is from RNAcentral.
GCCUACGGCCAUACCACCCUGAACGCGCCCGAUCUCGUCUGAUCUCGGAAGCUAAGCAGGGUCGGGCCUGGUUAGUACUUGGAUGGGAGACCGCCUGGGAAUACCAGGUGCUGUAAGCUU